This 1439-nucleotide ribosomal RNA is filed under the name uncultured organism. RNAcentral's name for it is "16S ribosomal RNA". It matches the Rfam family "Bacterial small subunit ribosomal RNA". The record is from RNAcentral.
AACGCUAGCUACAGGCUUAACACAUGCAAGUCGAGGGGCAGCAUGGUCUUAGCUUGCUAAGGCCGAUGGCGACCGGCGCACGGGUGAGUAACACGUAUCCAACCUGCCGUCUACUCUUGGACAGCCUUCUGAAAGGAAGAUUAAUACAAGAUGGCAUCAUGAGUCCACAUGUUCACAUGAUUAAAGGUAUUCCGGUAGACGAUGGGGAUGCGUUCCAUUAGAUAGUAGGCGGGGUAACGGCCCACCUAGUCUUCGAUGGAUAGGGGUUCUGAGAGGAAGGUCCCCCACAUUGGAACUGAGACACGGUCCAAACUCCUACGGGAGGCAGCAGUGAGGAAUAUUGGUCAAUGGGCGAGAGCCUGAACCAGCCAAGUAGCGUGAAGGAUGACUGCCCUAUGGGUUGUAAACUUCUUUUAUAAAGGAAUAAAGUCGGGUAUGGAUACCCGUUUGCAUGUACUUUAUGAAUAAGGAUCGGCUAACUCCGUGCCAGCAGCCGCGGUAAUACGGAGGAUCCGAGCGUUAUCCGGAUUUAUUGGGUUUAAAGGGAGCGUAGAUGGAUGUUUAAGUCAGUUGUGAAAGUUUGCGGCUCAACCGUAAAAUUGCAGUUGAUACUGGAUAUCUUGAGUGCAGUUGAGGCAGGCGGAAUUCGUGGUGUAGCGGUGAAAUGCUUAGAUAUCACGAAGAACUCCGAUUGCGAAGGCAGCCUGCUAAGCUGCAACUGACAUUGAGGCUCGAAAGUGUGGGUAUCAAACAGGAUUAGAUACCCUGGUAGUCCACACGGUAAACGAUGAAUACUCGCUGUUUGCGAUAUACAGCAAGCGGCCAAGCGAAAGCGUUAAGUAUUCCACCUGGGGAGUACGCCGGCAACGGUGAAACUCAAAGGAAUUGACGGGGGCCCGCACAAGCGGAGGAACAUGUGGUUUAAUUCGAUGAUACGCGAGGAACCUUACCCGGGCUUAAAUUGCAGAUGAAUUACGGUGAAAGCCGUAAGCCGCAAGGCAUCUGUGAAGGUGCUGCAUGGUUGUCGUCAGCUCGUGCCGUGAGGUGUCGGCUUAAGUGCCAUAACGAGCGCAACCCUUGUUGUCAGUUACUAACAGGUUCCGCUGAGGACUCUGACAAGACUGCCAUCGUAAGAUGUGAGGAAGGUGGGGAUGACGUCAAAUCAGCACGGCCCUUACGUCCGGGGCUACACACGUGUUACAAUGGGGGGUACAGAGGGCCGCUACCACGCGAGUGGAUGCCAAUCCCAAAAACCUCUCUCAGUUCGGACUGGAGUCUGCAACCCGACUCCACGAAGCUGGAUUCGCUAGUAAUCGCGCAUCAGCCACGGCGCGGUGAAUACGUUCCCGGGCCUUGUACACACCGCCCGUCAAGCCAUGGGAGCCGGGGGUACCUGAAGUGCGUAACCGCGAGGAGCGCCCUAGGGUAAAACUGGUGAC